UUGUGUUAGGGAUUGAAACGGCAUCCUUUUUGCUUUUCGCAAAAAGAUAUAGUGAAAAGCCCGACCUUUU
This 70-nucleotide small RNA is filed under the name Polaribacter atrinae. RNAcentral's name for it is "Flavo-1 RNA". It matches the Rfam family "Flavo-1 RNA". The record is from Rfam by way of RNAcentral. Lineage: Bacteria; Pseudomonadati; Bacteroidota; Flavobacteriia; Flavobacteriales; Flavobacteriaceae.